AGGAAAAUUUGGAUUUGGAGGACAUACGGAUUUAGCGACCCCGGAAUCGUGUUUGAUGGAUUUAUGCUAAAUUCACAUGGAGCUGGAUGUUGCCAUCAUCAAGGCCACCAAUCACGUUGAGUGCCCGCCGAAGGAGAGGCACAUCAGAAAAAUCUUGGUCAUUUCUGGCAUAUCGCGCCCUCGGACUGAUGUAGCCUAUUGCAUAAGUGCUCUUGCAAGACGGCUCGCAAAGACUCAUAAUUGGACGGUACACAUGCUUUUUCGAGUUUUCCUCCACAU
Molecule: long non-coding RNA, 279 nt
Organism: Phalaenopsis equestris
Lineage: Eukaryota; Viridiplantae; Streptophyta; Magnoliopsida; Asparagales; Orchidaceae
Exons: 3
Source: RefSeq, a predicted model, not a curated record